UACGGAGGGAGCUAGCGUUGUUCGGAAUUACUGGGCGUAAAGCGCACGUAGGCGGCUUUGCAAGUUAGAGGUGAAAGCCCGGGGCUCAACUCCGGAAUUGCCUUUAAAACUGCAUCGCUAGAAUUGUGGAGAGGUAAGUGGAAUUCCGAGUGUAGAGGUGAAAUUCGUAGAUAUUCGGAAGAACACCAGUGGCGAAGGCGACUUACUGGACAGAUAUUGACGCUGAGGUGCGAAAGCGUGGGGAGCAAACAGG
RNAcentral lists this ribosomal RNA (253 nucleotides) under uncultured bacterium. RNAcentral's name for it is "partial 16S ribosomal RNA". It matches the Rfam family "Bacterial small subunit ribosomal RNA", at positions 524 to 776 of the family's 1533-position model. The record is from RNAcentral.